UCGAAGAACUAUCUUAAGCAAAGUUCCUGUAGAACCAAUAAUAUUUAUAGCUUCUUAAAGACUCGAACAACGCCAACUUUUCUUGCUGAAAAACCAAGCUAAGUUUCAAUGUAAAUCAGAAGCUUUCGUCUUCGUUUCGCUCAAAAUGCCUAAAAGUAAUCUAAGUGCCAUUUCAAAUAUAUUUCCACCAAAUGCGAAGUCAACUUCGCACUAAACUUUCUCCUGCAGUCGAGUCUUCAUCGAACCAAAAUAUUCUCAUGUUGAAUUCAUGGUGAAGAAGCAACCACAUUUUCGUUGUUUGGGUACCAACAAGUUCAAUCCCUUACUUUCGAAUUCAUAGAGACAUGGAAACAUCACCAACACAUUAUAUCAAGUUAUUAC
RNAcentral lists this long non-coding RNA (381 nucleotides) under Ananas comosus (pineapple). RNAcentral describes it as "long non-coding RNA (ACOM_LNC008290)". The record is from RNAcentral. Lineage: Eukaryota; Viridiplantae; Streptophyta; Magnoliopsida; Poales; Bromeliaceae.